GUCAAGGUGCUCCCCAGCCCAAAAGAGUCUCCAGCUCCCAUCCCCACAGGUGGUGGGGCCAGGGUGGGGCCCAGCAGGGGCUUGGCAUGGCCUGGCUGGGGCCUCUUUCCCCGUGCUGGGCUCAGCUCAUCCUUCUCACAGGUGGACCUGCAGCUGCAGGGGCUCUCGCGCUCCAUCUCCUCCUCAUCCUCACUCAGUGGUAUGUCUGUGCAGAUCCUUCCUGUCUCCCCAAGCCCCACACAGGGCAGGUGAUGGCCUCAGCCAAGCCCAGAGGGUCUCAGAGGACACGUCCUGCCCUGGCUGAGCCUGGCUGUCACCCCUGUGCCACAGACCUGAGCUGCACCAGUCCCAGCCUCUCUGUGCAGUCCCCUGUCCUGCCGCUGCUGAGCCGCUCCCCAUCAGAGACCAACCUGGCCAGUCCUGUGGAGCCACUGGGAGCCCCAGUGCCCCUGAGGUCCCCCACAGGCUCAGCCUCCGUGACUCCCUCCUGGCUCACGUCAUCACCAGCACUGACACCAACACUGACUCUCCAGAAGACCCCAGGGGGGCCUGUCCCCCCAGCCCUGCCCCAAGCCCUCCUGUCCCCCCAGGCUGUCCCCACAUCCCCUGUUCCCUGGGAGCCCAGCAGUCCCCUGACACCCCCUGUGACCAGCACACCCUUGUCCCCCACCACCCCCCUCUUGUCCCUGGCCAAUGUCUUCUCUCUGGCAGUGAUGACCGUGGCUCACACUGUCUCCUCCAUUGUCAGCUCAGGUGGGCACUUCUACCCACCAGCACUGCCACGGCCACAGAGUCUUGUCCAGGGUGCCCCACGCUUUGUCUACCCUGACCCCAGCAGCACAGACAGGCCAGUCCCACCUGGCAGUGGGGUCCUGGAGUCAGUGGGAGCUGAUGUCCCCCCUGCUGGGGUGCCCACACCCUCCCUUCCCUUGGCACCAGCCCCAGUGAGCCCCACAGGCAGCGAGGCCGUGGGGACCCCUCUGCCAUUGCUGAGCACAUCCACAGCUGGGAGUCCAGAGGGCAGCACGGUGCUGCCUGGUGCCCCCAAGCCCAGCCACUCUCUGAUCAUCUCGGAGGCACCAGCCCCCAGCGUGCCCAAGGCCCAGCUCUCACCCAUCAAUGAAGGUAAGGUGGGGCAGGGCCAGGGCUGUGCCUGUGCCAGGGCAAUGCCCCGGCCAGCCCGUGUGCCCUGAGCCCCACCAGCUCCCCUGUCCCCAGCAGAAGCCAAGCCCCAGGUCCUGGGCCGGUUCCAUGUGAUACCAGCCAAGGACCUGCCUGUGACCUCUCCGGGGCGGGGCAGCAGUGACGGGGAGCAGCACAGCACGGAGGCAGCAGCGAGCGGCUCCCC
This 1348-nucleotide long non-coding RNA is filed under the name Zosterops lateralis melanops. RNAcentral's name for it is "lncRNA (ENSZLMG00000005094.1)". The record is from RNAcentral. Lineage: Eukaryota; Metazoa; Chordata; Aves; Passeriformes; Zosteropidae.